GCACCUAUAGCUCAGGUGGAUAGAGCACAGGAUUCCUAAUCCUGGGGCCCCAGGUUCGAGUCCUGGUAGGCGCG
This 74-nucleotide transfer RNA is filed under the name Candidatus Rifleibacteriota bacterium. RNAcentral describes it as "tRNA-Arg". It matches the Rfam family "tRNA". Rfam says of the family: Transfer RNA (tRNA) molecules are approximately 80 nucleotides in length. Their secondary structure includes four short double-helical elements and three loops (D, anti-codon, and T loops). Lineage: Bacteria; Candidatus Rifleibacteriota. The record is from RNAcentral.